Pelobates cultripes (western spadefoot toad) is the source of this 158-nucleotide non-coding RNA. The record is from the annotation of a GenBank genome assembly. NCBI's taxonomy places the organism in Eukaryota, Metazoa, Chordata, Amphibia, Anura, Pelobatidae.
GUCAGUUUUUGUGUGUGUCAGUAUAUGUAUCUGUGCAUGUGUAACUCUGGCUCUGGGCAUCAGAGUGUAUAUAUAUAUAUAUAUAUAUAUAUAUAUAUAUAUAUAUAGAUAGAUAGAUGGAUGCACAGAUGCAUACACUGACACACACAAACAAUGAU